This 354-nucleotide transfer-messenger RNA is filed under the name bovine gut metagenome. It matches the Rfam family "transfer-messenger RNA". From Rfam's summary of the family: Bacterial tmRNA, also known as 10Sa RNA or SsrA, is named for its dual tRNA and mRNA-like properties. The record is from RNAcentral.
GGGGGUGAUCCGGUUUCGACGGGACAGACCGAAGUCAGGUUGCGCGCCGUGGAUGCUCGUUGGCCACGUUAAAAAACGGGUACAAAAAGUAAUUGCGAAAGCUGAUUACGCUCUGGCCGCCUAAGUAAUGGCCGCCAUGUCGAAGCGCCGACGUCCGAUGAGCGCCUAGACAUCAUCUAUCGGGCCACGCUGCAGGGAGUUCCGCUUGCCCGCUGCAGGGUGCCGAACCAGGCGGAUGGAGACGGAUAAGCCCGCCCGCCGGCGUGCCGUCCCCGAGACAAACGGCCGGCUACGCGCGUAGAUAUUUGAUGGACGAUGCUCCGGACAGGGGUUCGACUCCCCUCACCUCCACCA